Molecule: ribosomal RNA, 301 nt
Filed under: uncultured bacterium
Lineage: Bacteria
Description: partial 16S ribosomal RNA
Rfam family: Bacterial small subunit ribosomal RNA
Source: RNAcentral
CAGCCGCCGCGGGAAUACGAAGGGGGCUAGCGUUGCUCGGAAUGACUGGGCGUAAAGGGCGCGUAGGCGGAUGACACAGUCAGAUGUGAAAUUCCCGGGCUUAACCUGGGGGCUGCAUUUGAUACGUGUUGUCUAGAGUGAGGAAGAGGGUUGUGGAAUUCCCAGUGUAGAGGUGAAAUUCGUAGAUAUAUGGAGGAACACCGGUGGCGAAAGCGGCUCUCUGGCUUGUAACUGACGCUGAGGCUCGAAAGCGUGGGGAGCAAACAGGAUUAGAGACCCCCGUAGUCCCUGUCUCUUAUAC